This 108-nucleotide non-coding RNA is filed under the name Ornatilinea apprima. RNAcentral's name for it is "TPP sequence". It matches the Rfam family "TPP riboswitch aptamer (THI element)". From Rfam's summary of the family: Vitamin B(1) in its active form thiamin pyrophosphate (TPP) is an essential coenzyme that is synthesised by coupling of pyrimidine and thiazole moieties in bacteria. The previously detected thiamin-regulatory element, thi box was extended, resulting in a new, highly conserved RNA secondary structure, the THI element, which is widely distributed in eubacteria and also occurs in some archaea. Lineage: Bacteria; Bacillati; Chloroflexota; Anaerolineae; Anaerolineales; Anaerolineaceae. The record is from Rfam by way of RNAcentral.
AAUUCAACAUCGGGGAGACUGACAACAGGCUGAGAGGAGAGCAAAGGCUCUCGACCCGCAUUACCUGAUCCGGAUUAUGCCGGCGGAGGGAAAAUACGAAUUUAUUCG